UACGGGGGGGGCAAGCGUUGUUCGGAAUUACUGGGCGUAAAGGGCGUGUAGGCGGCCAACUAAGUCCGACGUGAAAUCCCCAGGCUUAACCUGGGAACUGCGUCGGAUACUGGAUGGCUUGAAUCCGGGAGAGGGAUGCAGAAUUCCAGGUGUAGCGGUGAAAUGCGUAGAUAUCUGGAGGAAUACCGGUGGCGAAGGCGGCAUCCUGGACCGGCAUUGACGCUGAAGCACGAAAGCUAGGGGAGCAAACGGG
This 253-nucleotide ribosomal RNA is filed under the name uncultured bacterium. Its description in RNAcentral is "partial 16S ribosomal RNA". It matches the Rfam family "Bacterial small subunit ribosomal RNA", at positions 524 to 776 of the family's 1533-position model. The record is from RNAcentral.